AUGGCUGAGUUGUUGUAGGCCAUAAUGGCUGAGUUGCUGUAGGAGAUCUCCGAGUUGAUAUGCGUGACGACGCAUUGUGUGCUGAUUGCUGAUUAUGCUGUAAGAUCGAUGAGUUGUAUGCUGAAGAUGUGUGCUGUUAUGGCUAAAUAAUGUGGUACUUUAAAUGAAUUUUGUUAAGUUGAUUGAUGUGUUGAAGUGCUGUGCUGUGCUGUGCUGGGUUGUGCUGAGUUGGGGGAUAUUAUAGCCGCUAAGUCGGUGCUGUUGUUAGCCACAUAUGUGGUGCUGAUUCUAACCGCUAAGGCAGUGCUGAUAUUGCCGCAUUGCGGUGCUGAUAUUGUUGAGUGGUAUAAGCUGUAUAAAGCAGGGAUAGGUGGGCGUCUAAGGAUGAGUCUUCGGCGGACCAGUAGAGCUGAUCGUUUUUGUGACUAUUUUGUUAUGUAGCUACUUGGGAUAGUAGCAUUGAUUGGACUUUGUGUUGUACACUCUAACUCUAGUCGGAUAGAGACUUUGUAUAUAUUUAUAUUCUAGAUCCUAUAUUUAUAUACUUGUCCUUUCUGUCUGGC
Non-coding RNA from Cajanus cajan (pigeon pea), 563 nucleotides. The record is from RefSeq and is a predicted model, not a curated record. NCBI's taxonomy places the organism in Eukaryota, Viridiplantae, Streptophyta, Magnoliopsida, Fabales, Fabaceae.